RNAcentral lists this ribosomal RNA (236 nucleotides) under uncultured bacterium. RNAcentral's name for it is "partial 16S ribosomal RNA". It matches the Rfam family "Bacterial small subunit ribosomal RNA", at positions 100 to 334 of the family's 1533-position model. The record is from RNAcentral.
CCGGCACGGGUGAGUAACACGUAUCCAACCUGCCGUCUACUCUUGGACAGCCUUCUGAAGGAAGAUUAAUACAAGAUGGCAUCAUGAGUUCACAUGUUCACAUGAUUAAAGGUAUUCCGGUAGACGAUGGGGAUGCGUUCCAUUAGAUAGUAGGCGGGGUAACGGCCCACCUAGUCUUCGAUGGAUAGGGGUUCUGAGAGGAAGGUCCCCCACAUUGGAACUGAGACACGGUCCAA